ACCCAGCUGGCUCAGUUGGUAGAGCUGGGGACUCUUGAUCUCAGAGUCGAGAGUUCGAGCCUCACAUUGGGCA
This 73-nucleotide transfer RNA is filed under the name Canis lupus familiaris (dog). It matches the Rfam family "tRNA". From Rfam's summary of the family: Transfer RNA (tRNA) molecules are approximately 80 nucleotides in length. Their secondary structure includes four short double-helical elements and three loops (D, anti-codon, and T loops). Lineage: Eukaryota; Metazoa; Chordata; Mammalia; Carnivora; Canidae. RNAcentral also lists the same sequence under 2 other names. The record is from Rfam by way of RNAcentral.